UUGAGGAGGUUUUCUGCGCCACUUAACCAUCUUAUCCUUUCUUUCAAAGACCCAAAAGAAAUUGGCAUGAUGUGGGCUGUAGCCUUAUUUCUAGCUUUCCUGCUCCCUGACAGUCAACUGUCUCCCAACUGGAAAGAGAGAUUGCGGUCAGUCACCAAGACAUUCGGGUCCUCUGUGGCAAUCAGUUGUGAUGUUCACCCGGUCUUAGCCCCCGUCCACUGGUAUCAGGCUAUGGAGGGGAAGGCCCCACGAUACCUUCUUGUCUAUGACAUCUUUAGAUCCACUGCUGUGGUGGACUCUGAACUCAGUCCAGAAAAAUACCAUGCUUAUGAAGGGAUAGGAAGGAGCUGCAAUUUGGUGUUACGAAAUUUGGACAGGAGUGAUUCUGGCAUGUAUUACUGUGCCACUUGGAUUGGCACAGUGGUGUAG
This is a non-coding RNA of Perognathus longimembris pacificus (Pacific pocket mouse), 429 nucleotides long. Lineage: Eukaryota; Metazoa; Chordata; Mammalia; Rodentia; Heteromyidae. The record is from the annotation of a RefSeq genome assembly.